Chelmon rostratus (copperband butterflyfish) is the source of this 978-nucleotide non-coding RNA. The record is from the annotation of a RefSeq genome assembly. NCBI's taxonomy places the organism in Eukaryota, Metazoa, Chordata, Actinopteri, Chaetodontiformes, Chaetodontidae.
CAAAAACAUGACUCUGAUCGGCGUCCUCAUCUGGACUCUCCUCUGCUGCUGCUUCACAGAGUCCAGAGGCCAGAUCACAGUGACUCAGCCUGGAGCAGUGAGGUCUGCUCUGGGAGAGUCCGUCACCAUCAACUGUAAGACCAGUCCAGAGGUUUAUAAUGGGAACUAUUUACACUGGUACCAACAGAAAGAUGGAGAAACUCCUAAACUGCUCAUUUACUAUGCUAACAGCCGAGCAUCAGGGAUUCCAGAUCGUUUUACAGGCAGUGGAUCAAACACUGACUUCACUCUGACCAUCAGUGGAGUCCAGACUGAAGAUGCAGCAGUUUACUACUGUCAGAGUGUUCAUUAUAUCAACAGUCAGUGGUUGUUCACACAGUGAAAAAGAGUCGUACAAAAACCUCCCUCAGUCAGACUGAACAGAAACUGAACUGACUGCUGCAGCUGGAAGCUACAACAGAGACUGAUACACUUCACUGAGUACACACACACACACACACACACACACACACAAACUGUGUUAAAUAUAUUCCACACUUCACCUUCUCUUUCUGUGAUCAUACAUUGAGUUUAAUUGAAGGAGCAGACGUGACGAUUUAUGUCGAUCAACUGGCAGAAAUGAAAUUUAACAUUAAUAAUUCUCUUUAAAUUUGUGUACAAUCACCUGAAAUAAGAAUAAUUAUGUUUUUGUUGUCUUAUAUUGAACUCUUUAUAUCUCCAGAGGGAGCGGGUCCUCUUCCAUGAAAACCGCUAUGUUGCACAGCCACAUUUCUGCAGUGGCCCAGAAUGGACAAAACAGACACUGGCUCGAGACAGCACCUUUAAUGUUUGUCCCAAGUUUCACAGCCACCGUCAGGAUUCAUACACGCUUGCAAAUGAAAGGGUGAGACAAGAGGUAUUCAGCUGGUUGCAAUCUGAAACAUUAUCAUUGGAUGCCACAACAUCCUUCACACUGGACCUUUUACACAACGUUUACAA